Molecule: ribosomal RNA, 230 nt
Filed under: uncultured bacterium
Lineage: Bacteria
Description: partial 16S ribosomal RNA
Rfam family: Bacterial small subunit ribosomal RNA
Source: RNAcentral
AAAGGGUGCGCAGGUGGUUUAUUAAGUCAGUGGUGAAAGACGGUCGCUCAACGAUUGCAGUGCCAUUGAAACUGGUAGACUUGAGUAAAGUAGAGGUGGGCGGAAUUGAUAGUGUAGCGGUGAAAUGCAUAGAUAUUAUCAAGAACUCCAAUUGCGUAGGCAGCUCACUUGGCUUUUACUGACACUCAUGCACGAAAGUGUGGGUAUCAAACAGGAUUAGAUACCCUGGU